UUAGUAAUCCGUUUUUCAUGUCCUGGCCAAUAAUACAAUGGUACAAAGUGCAUUACAAGUGUUUAAUGACAAGAUGCAUGCAGUACACUCCAUGGUUAUUCAAAAGAAAUGAAUCCAUUUCAUAAUUCAUAGCUCAACGAGUGAUUUGUUUACAUACCUCUUACUGCAUUGCACACCUUGUAGGAGGCAAAAGCCAGCUUCUUCCCUCCUCUGCCAAGCCAGUUGAAUUUCAGCGCGAAGUGGUUGGUGAGGAUGUGGCGAAGGAUUCUUCGAACCGCGUCACCAGGAUUGCAGCCCCCAAGCGCACUAAGGUGUGCUGCCUGCAGGUAAGAAUGGAAAGUAAUGUUUUAGAAUAUCUUAUUAUGGCUUAUAGUCAGCAUACCGUUCAAAAUGAACAUCUUUGGUAAUGCGAAAAGUUCAUUAAACACUAUUUUUAGGAGUGAACAACGCGUUUCGCCCAAUGCGUCUUCAGGUUCGAACCUGAAAACGCAUUGGGCGAAACGCGUUGUUCGCUCCUAAAAAUAAAGAGAAAAAAGAACAGUAUCCAGUGUGCGGUGUUUAAUGAACUUUUCAUAUUUGAUCACGUUUUCCUGCCUAACACCUGCACCUGGAAAGCUGAAGGGUUGUGCACAAGGACUUUCAUGCACUUUGAUCUUUGGGUGCUCCUGGUUUGGGCUUUUUUCAGGUUCAUACGCGCUGCAUCAUAAUUGGCUGUUGAAGACAACAAUGAAGUCUCAUCUGGCAUAGCGCUUUGGAUGACUGCAACUUUCGUCCGCUUGGUGUCUUUAUACGGUGGCCAAAAAGACACCUUGCCAUCCAAACUUAGCCACGAGCAA
Long non-coding RNA from Gadus morhua (Atlantic cod), 836 nucleotides. NCBI's taxonomy places the organism in Eukaryota, Metazoa, Chordata, Actinopteri, Gadiformes, Gadidae. The record is from Ensembl.